Molecule: ribosomal RNA, 992 nt
Filed under: Boudabousia marimammalium
Lineage: Bacteria; Bacillati; Actinomycetota; Actinomycetes; Actinomycetales; Actinomycetaceae
Description: bacterial SSU rRNA
Rfam family: Bacterial small subunit ribosomal RNA
Source: RNAcentral
CGGAGAGUUUGAUCCUGGCUCAGGACGAACGCUGGCGGCGUGCUUAACACAUGCAAGUCGAACGAUGAAGCGGUGCUUUUGUAUCGUGGAUUAGUGGCGAACGGGUGAGUAACACGUGAGUAACCUGCCCCCUUCUUUGGGAUAAGCAUUGGAAACGGUGUCUAAUACUGGAUAUUCACAUUUUGCCGCAUGGUGGGGUGUGGAAAGGUUUUUCUGGUGGGGGAUGGGCUCGCGGCCUAUCAGCUUGUUGGUGGGGUGAUGGCCUACCAAGGCUUUGACGGGUAGCCGGCCUGAGAGGGUGACCGGUCACACUGGGACUGAGAUACGGCCCAGACUCCUACGGGAGGCAGCAGUGGGGAAUAUUGCACAAUGGGCGAAAGCCUGAUGCAGCGACGCCGCGUGAGGGAUGACGGCCUUCGGGUUGUAAACCUCUUUCAGUAAGGACGCAGGGCAAUCUUUGGGUUGUUUGACGGUACUUGCAGAAGAAGCGCCGGCUAACUACGUGCCAGCAGCCGCGGUAAUACGUAGGGCGCAAGCGUUGUCCGGAAUUAUUGGGCGUAAAGGGCUUGUAGGCGGCGUGUCGCGUCUGUCGUGAAAUCCAAUGGCUUAACUGUUGGCUUGCGGUGGGUACGGGCAUGCUUGAGUGCGGUAGGGGAGACUGGAAUUCCUGGUGUAGCGGUGGAAUGCGCAGAUAUCAGGAGGAACACCGGUGGCGAAGGCGGGUCUCUGGGCCGUUACUGACGCUGAGGAGCGAAAGCGUGGGGAGCGAACAGGAUUAGAUACCCUGGUAGUCCACGCUGUAAACGUUGGGCACUAGGUGUGGGGGCUGUCAUGGUUUCUGCGCCGUAGCUAACGCAUUAAGUGCCCCGCCUGGGGAGUACGGCCGCAAGGCUAAAACUCAAAGGAAUUGACGGGGGCCCGCACAAGCGGCGGAGCAUGCGGAUUAAUUCGAUGCAACGCGAAGAACCUUACCAAGGCUUGACAUGCACCGG